UGUGUGUGUGCUUGCUUGUGCUUGUUUGUGGUGUUUUAAUUCAACGUUAUACAUGUGCAUGUUAUCAGCAAGGCAUACUACUGUUAUACACCUCCACCUAUAGUGAAGGUAACUCAUGUCCUCAUGUUGUCUAUCAGGAUGUCUCCAGCUGUAUUAACUGCUGACUGCAUCUCCACCAGAUCCCUCUCUCUCCUCAGACAGUCCAAGCUGACCCCAGCAGUGACACGUACACAGCUCUGAACUUGAAGAACGUGUCACCCGACUAUGACACACUUCCUAAUGUGAGAGACUCCUCCAGUGAUACGUACUCUCCUCUGGACAUGAGGACCAGGUCUUCUGACUACGACACACUGGCUACUAUGAGAAGGACUGGAGCAGAGAUCUAGAACACUCUAUUUGGAACAAAGAGCUACGACCCCAAACCAAAGAUUUAAAAAAUAUAUAUAUCUUUUAUUGUGAUAUGAAUUGGCAUAAUGUUUACACAGAACAAUGAAAACAUUAGCAAGUAGGUUCUUGCUGAUAAUAAACAAAUAUAAUAAUAAUAAUAAUAAUAAUAAUAGUAAAAUAACAUUAUGAAUAUGACAACUAGUAAUUUUAUCAAUAUUAUAAUGUCUAUACUAGUGAUUAUAUUUUUAUUACAUGAAUAUAACAUACCUUUUAAUACCUUUUAAAAGUGUUAGAAUUUAAUGGUAUUAUGUGUGAUUUGAGCAACUUCAUGUUAGCAUAAUUGCAGGCUUGCUUUACAAUCCUGUAGCUCGAAAGAUACAAUGUUUUCUAGGCCCAAACAACAUAGAAAGUAAAAUUAUAUGACUUAAUUCUGGUGCUUUUUAGCUAAUAUUGCUAAU
Molecule: long non-coding RNA, 845 nt
Organism: Osmerus eperlanus (European smelt)
Lineage: Eukaryota; Metazoa; Chordata; Actinopteri; Osmeriformes; Osmeridae
Exons: 3
Source: RefSeq, a predicted model, not a curated record